GACGAACGCUGGCGGCGUGCUUAACACAUGCAAGUCGAACGAAGAGCGAUGGAAGCUUGCUUCUAUCAAUCUUAGUGGCGAACGGGUGAGUAACGCGUAAUCAACCUGCCCUUCAGAGGGGGACAACAGUUGGAAACGACUGCUAAUACCGCAUACGAUCUAACCUCGGCAUCGAGGAUAGAUGAAAGGUGGCCUCUACAUGUAAGCUAUCACUGAAGGAGGGGAUUGCGUCUGAUUAGCUAGUUGGAGGGGUAACGGCCCACCAAGGCGAUGAUCAGUAGCCGGUCUGAGAGGAUGAACGGCCACAUCGGGACUGAGACACGGCCCAGACUCCUACGGGAGGCAGCAGUGGGGAAUCUUCCGCAAUGGACGAAAGUCUGACGGAGCAACGCCGCGUGAGUGAUGACGGCCUUCGGGUUGUAAAGCUCUGUUAAUCGGGACGAAAGGCCUUCUUGCGAAUAGUUAGAAGGAUUGACGGUACCGGAAUAGAAAGCCACGGCUAACUACGUG
Molecule: ribosomal RNA, 510 nt
Filed under: uncultured bacterium
Lineage: Bacteria
Description: partial 16S ribosomal RNA
Rfam family: Bacterial small subunit ribosomal RNA
Source: RNAcentral